Molecule: transfer RNA, 73 nt
Filed under: Anaerolineae bacterium
Lineage: Bacteria; Bacillati; Chloroflexota; Anaerolineae
Also listed under: 1 other name
Description: tRNA-Lys
Rfam family: tRNA
About the family: Transfer RNA (tRNA) molecules are approximately 80 nucleotides in length. Their secondary structure includes four short double-helical elements and three loops (D, anti-codon, and T loops).
Source: RNAcentral
GCCUCCGUAGCUCAACUGGCAGAGCAGGGCACUCUUAAUGCCAAGGUCACAGGUUCAAAUCCUGUCGGGGGCA